GGGGCGUUGUUAUAACGGCUAUUAUGUCUGCCUGUCUAGUAGACGACACGGGUUCGACUCCCGUACGCCUCGCCA
This 75-nucleotide transfer RNA is filed under the name Candidatus Thorarchaeota archaeon. Its description in RNAcentral is "tRNA-Asp". It matches the Rfam family "tRNA". Rfam says of the family: Transfer RNA (tRNA) molecules are approximately 80 nucleotides in length. Their secondary structure includes four short double-helical elements and three loops (D, anti-codon, and T loops). Lineage: Archaea; Promethearchaeati; Candidatus Thorarchaeota. The record is from RNAcentral.